RNAcentral lists this long non-coding RNA (1128 nucleotides) under Equus caballus (horse). Its description in RNAcentral is "lncRNA (ENSECAG00000053647.1)". Lineage: Eukaryota; Metazoa; Chordata; Mammalia; Perissodactyla; Equidae. The record is from RNAcentral.
GCCAAGAGUUUGAGCAUUUGAUAGGUCUCUGCCCUUUCUUCAGCUGAUUGCACUGCCCCAUUACUGCUGGCUUUAAUAUAUUCAAGCCCCUAAUGCAAUAUGCAGCACCUGCAAACACUGUGAAAUAUUAGCGGAGUGGUAAUGAAAAUUGACUGCAAGUAUAAUGACAACAGGUGAAAUUAUUCAUAGCCUGCUCAUGUAGCAAACUUCAGAUAUAAACUCAAUGAGCAUAAACGGAAUAAGUUCAUGACAAAUAUGAAAAUAUCCCAAACUGCUAAAGUAAUAAAAGUAAAUAUAAUAAAUCUUUCCUGCAAAUAUAAUAAGGUCCCUAACUGCAAAUGUAAUAAAACCUAUCAACAGCUGCAAUAUAUUUGGAACAUAUUAUAUAGCUUUACAAAGAGUUAUACCCCCUGCUGGUAUGGCCUCAACAAUGUCAUGCUUUGUCUUUUUCCAGUGAGUCCAAAUCCAGCAGACUACAUGCUGCCCAGUGUAUAUUAAGUAUGACAGAGCGUUAAUGCAACCAGGUUUGGAUUGAAAAUGAAAUGCUCAAUCCAGAUGUGCUCUUUGGCCAUUCUGCGAGCAGAGCCAAAGGCUGUAGGACUCCCACCAGGGGCUGAAAUGCAGCCAGGAAAGCCAAGCGUGGGAGGCAAGAGAAGAGGAUCUGGGACAGAAGACUGAGGAAUACCAACAUUUAAGGGAUGGGCAGAGUUACCUCAAAUUUCCCUCUUCACAUUCCCUCUCAUAUUCAGCCAGUGUCCUUUUAUUUAUUUACUUUUUACUGAGGAAGAUUAGCCCUGAGAUAACAUCUCCCACCAACCCUCCUCUUUUUGCUGAGGAAGACUGGCCCUGAGCUAACAUGCAUGCCCAUCAUCCUCUACUUUAUAUGUGGGACGCCUACCACAGCAUGGCUUGCCAAGCUGAGCCGUGUCUGCACCUGGGAUCCGAACCAGCGAACCCUGGGCCGGCGAAGUGGAACGUGUGAACUUAAAUGCUACGCCACUGGGCCAGCCCCCUUUUAUUUUUUAUACUGUUUUAAAAACUGAGCAGAAAUAGAAUACUGUCAGGACAUCAUGGCUGUGAAUAAUAAACCUUGAAAAUCUACAAACUGUGUAGCCUCCUCUAAACCAA